AGGAAAUAAAGGGUAUUCAAUUAGGAAAAGAGGAAGUCAAAUUGUCCCUGUUUGCAGACGACAUGAUUGUAUAGCUAGAAAACCCCAUUGUCUCAGCCCAAAAAUACCAUUUGACCCAGACAUCCCAUUACUGGGUAUAUACCCAAAGGACUAUAAAUCAUGCUGCUAUAAAGACACAUGCACACGUAUGUUUAUUGCGGCACUAUUCACAAUAGCAAAGACUUGGAACCAACCCAAAUGUCCAACAAUGAUAGACUG
This 258-nucleotide long non-coding RNA is filed under the name Pan troglodytes (chimpanzee). RNAcentral's name for it is "long non-coding RNA NONPTRT000594". The record is from RNAcentral. Lineage: Eukaryota; Metazoa; Chordata; Mammalia; Primates; Hominidae.